Molecule: small nucleolar RNA, 138 nt
Organism: Ornithorhynchus anatinus (platypus)
Lineage: Eukaryota; Metazoa; Chordata; Mammalia; Monotremata; Ornithorhynchidae
Source: RefSeq, a predicted model, not a curated record
CCCCUCUCUAGAUCGCACCUGGAGAGUAUCCAAUACUCUACUAGCCUCGGCUAGGGGAGUGAGAGUCAAGCAGAGGCCUACCCAUUCCAUUCUUAGCUUGGGCAGUGGCUAUCCAGUGGAAGGCAAUCUGUUACAAAU